AUACGCACUUGUCCAGUAUUUCUAGUAGGUAAGUGGCCAACAGAGCCGAGUAUUUUGUUUUCAUGUUCCCGGAUUGCUGCGCCCUAUGAAAUAAAGGGGUAAAUCGUGACGUCACACGCCAGUUUUGACUGGGCAGUUUCGCCACGGUUGCCAACACGCACCGAACAGGCGUCUUGUCAGUGCAGCAAAUAACUCAAUUGGUCCGACACUCGUUGAGGAUAUUACAUCCGGUGUGGACCCUUCUCAAGAAAGUGCCUCAAAAGCCAAAAAUGCAGAACAAUUUAUGAGCGUGAGAAAGUGCUAAAAGUCCCGUCAAGACGUGUCCAUCUGGUUGGUUCCUCACAGCAAACAAAACAAAACAAAAAAGAGCAUGAUGUUUUUUCAUACAAAUAAAAGGUAACACCGCCAAAGGCAACAAAAAGUUGUUUGUCCCACAAUGCGAUAAAAAGAUUGAAACAAAUUACAACUUUUUUUUUUUCUCUCACUCGUACUCUGCAAUUAGAACCAUCAUGCCCACUCCGAACAGCAGGGCCAGAAUCUCCAUCAAAGACUGGCCGAAACUGGAGCGCCCCGCUAGCAGUUCUGGAAGCACCGUCACCGUGGCGAUGUAGACAAAGCCGCCGGCGGUGAAGGGCAGGAUCCAGGCGGUCGCCGUGGCGCCCACCCCUUCCGCCAGCAGCGAGCAGGCGGUGCCAGCCAGAGCUCCCAAGGCCGUGACCAGCUGCAGACACAUGGCCUGAUGGGAAACAGGAAGUUAAACAGCUGAAGAACCGGGAGUCGGGCGGCCCACCUUUUUCUUGGUGCAACCGGACUGGACCAGGAUGGCGAAGUCUCCGAUCUCGUGCGGGACCUCGUGCAGCAGGAUGGUGAUGGUGGUGAUGGUGCCCACCGCUGGACCCACCAGGAAGGAGGCGCCGAUGGCCAGGCCAUCGGUGAAGUUAUGAGUGAAGUCCGCCGCCAGGUUGAGGUAGCCCGACACCUUGAUGUCUGCAACAUGAACAGCUGUCAGCGUGUGAGCCAGAGUCUGACCUCUGAUUUCAACAGGAAACGUAAUCGCCACAAAACGGCAGCGCCAUCUGCCGUUUGGCGAUCCCCAACGCCGUUCUGUUGCGGCUCUGCCGUGCAGCGAAAAAGCGCAGACUUUUACGAGAUCCCGCAAAUCCGCGCUUCAUCAUGUGACAAAGUAAACAUUGACGUAAACACCUCGAAACGUCUCGAGGUCCAUCAAAACCCACAGGCGAGCGUUGUCGACACACAUCUCCCACGAACCACACCACUGCUUCCCUGUAUCAGCUGGCAUUUGACACAGGACCCCAUGUGCGCACAUACCGUAUUUUUCGGAUUAUAAGUCGCAGUUUUUUUCAUAGUUUGGCCGGGGGUGCGACAUAUACUCCGGAGCGACUUAUGUGUGAAAUUAUUAACACAUUACCGUAAAAUAUCAAAUAAUAUUUAUCUCAUUCACGUAAGAGACUAAGCAAAUGGCAGCAAUCGUCACUCACACGUCAACCAAUAAGAAUUCGGCGGGGGAGGGUCAUGGCAGAAGUGCAUUGUGGGUCAUGGGAUGCUAACUGCUAUAUGUUACUGCCGUAGCUAUUAAAAUGGAUCACAUCAACAUUGGCGGUAACUUAUAAAAACUGAGAAGGACUGAACAAAAAUGGCACCGAAAAGGAAAUUAUAUACUGCAGAUUAGAAGCUGGACGUAGUGAAAUAUGCAGCAGAGAACGGCAAUCGAGCAGCAGAAAGAAAGGACAUACCAGAGGUGACACCGGGGAGGAAGAUUUCAUCGGAUUUAGCGAUCGGGAGUGACAGAUUGUUUGGUAAACGUAUAGCAUGUUCUAUAUGUUAUAGUUAUUUGAAUGACUCUUGCCAUGAUGUGUUGCGUUAACAUACCAGGCACGUUCUCAGUUGGUUAUUUAUGCCUCAUAUAACGUACACUUAUUCAGCCUGUUGUUCACUAUUCUUUAUUUAUUUUAAAUUGCCUUUCAAAUGUCUAUGUCUACUACGUGUUGGAUUUUAUCAAAUAAAUUUCCCCCAAAAAUGCGACUUAUACAGUGCGACGUAUAUGUUUUUUUCCGUCUUUAUUGUGCAUUUUCGGCCAGUGCGACGUAUACUCCGGAGCGACUUAUAGUCCGAAAAAUACGGUAGCUGCCCGGGAUAUGCCUGUGUAUGAUCCUUGAAUUUUGGACCUCCAGAAUCAGCAUUUGUCUCAACGAGGUGAAAUUACGUCUAAAAACUUGUGACAAGUUGACUUUAUGUCCGUCCCAGCCCAUUAAGGAUGUUCCAAAAUGUAACAUAAGAUUCACCUUGAAAACGGACUACCGUAUUUUCCGCACUAUAAGGCGCAACUAAAAACCUCCAAUUUCCUCAAAAGCUGACAGUGCGCCUUAUAAUCCGGUGCGCCUUAUAUAUGGACCAAUAUUGAGCCACACCAGGUCUCGCAACUACGGUAACUACACCAACUUCAUUUUCCCCCUUCUCCGGCUGUUUACCGUAGAAGAAGAAGCGCUUCUUCUACGGGGGAAAAUGAAGUCUGCGGUUGCUUACCGUAGAAGAAGAACUUCUUCUACGGGGGAAAAUUAAGUCGGCGGCUGCUUACCGUAGAAGAAGAAGUUCUUCUUCUACGGGGGAAACUGAAGUCCUGUAGUUGCGAGACAUAAACUUUAUGUAAAAACCCUAAAAUGGUUCCUAUUAAGAGACACGCUUACGACGCAGAGUUUAAACUCAAGGCGAUCAGUCACGCAGUAGAACACGGGAGAAUUUAACAUUAACGAAUCAAUGGUGCGGAAGUGGAGGAAGCAACAUGAUGACCUGCGCCAAGUAAAGAAGACUAAACAGAGUUUCCGAGGGAACAAAGCGAGAUGGCUACAGUUGGAGGACAAACUCGAACAGUGAGUUGUUGAACAGAGAGCAGCAAGUAGAAGUGUCAGUACAAUCACUAUUGGUUUUGUUGACAUUCCCUUUAGCGCAGCUCCAUCUAAUGGAUGCAUAACGUAACCCCAGCCUCUACUGUAGUGUCUAUUCUAUGCACCUUAUAAUGCGGUGCGCCUUAUAUAUGAACAAAGUUUUAAAAUAGGCCAUUCAUUGAAGGUGCGCCCUAUAAUCCGGUGCGCCUUAUAGUGCGGAAAAUACGGUAUUUUAUUUUCAAAGUAAGCCGGAUAUGGCUUCCUGUCCAACACAAGCAGAUUUUAGCUGAAUGGAUCCUCCGUGUUGCGACAACUGGCAAAAAUAGAAGCUUUGCGUGUAUUUAGCGCAGGGAACUAGAACGCAGGCGGUGGAAACGGACACAUUGACUCGAAUAAAAACGAAAGGAGUCCACCGCCGUGGCGAUUACGCACCGCAGCCGUAACGCAUCCUGUGAAAAUCACGGCUUAGAAAAGGCCUGGGCAAUCAUUUUGACUCGGGGGCCAAAUUUAGAGAAAAAAAUGUGUCUGGGGGCUGGUAUAUGUAUUUUUAGGAACACUACUACAAAACCUCACAAUAAUGUCUGAUUGAAUGCUAAAAACGUUUUGACAGACCGCCUUAAAAAAACAGAAUGGAAUUUUAAAUUUGUUUACUGAAUGAGACACCCAGAAUGUACAUGAAAAUAAAGAAUGUGGGAUUUACAAUAUGUAUUAACUAGGGAUGUCCGAUAAUGGCUUUUUUGCCGAUAUUGUCCAACUCUUAAUUACCGAUACCGAUAUCAACUGAUACCGAUAUAUACAGUCGUGGAAUUAACACAUUAUUAUGCCUAAUUUGGACAACCAGGUAUGGUGAAGAUAAGGUCCUUUUUUUUUAAAUUUAUAAAAUAAAAUAAGAGAAAUAAAUUAAAAACAUUUUCUUGAAUAAAAAAGAAAGUAAAACAAUAUAAAAACAGUUACACAGAAACCAGUAAGUAAUGAAAAUGAGUAAAAUUAACUGUUAAAGGUUAGUACUAUUAGUGGACCAGCAGCACGCACAAUCAUGUGUGCUUACGGACUGUAUCCCUUGCAGACUGUAUUGAUAUAUAUAACGUAGGAACCAGAAUAUUAAUAACAGAAAGAAACAACCCUUUUGUGUGAAUGAGUGUAAAUGGGGGAGGGAGAUUUUUUGGGUUGGUGCACUAAUUGUAAGUGUAUCUUGUUUUUUUUAUGUUGAUUUAAUAAAAAUAAAAAAACGACAACAACCCGAUAUUGAUAAUAAAAAAACUGAUACCGAUAAUUUCCGAUAUUACAUUUUAAAGCAUUUAUUUAUUUACUGUAGUAUUAACUAUGCACGAUAAAACACUGAAUAUUGACAACAUAUGAACGCCAACCCCUCCCCACCCCCCCUCUCUCUCUCUAUCGACAUAUUUUACAAUCAAGCGAAACGCAACAAAAAUGGAACAAACACCGCGAAAUAUGAACGCGAAGGGUAAAAAAACCAAACCACCUACAAUCUGAUAUCUGUCACUCAGUUAUAGAACUUUGUUGUAAAAAUCUCUUUCUGUUCCUGACACCCGCAUUUUCAGGCUCGCUCUGGAAACACUGUAGAAACGCUCCUCACCCACACUGCUUGGUGCCUCGUCUGAGCUGUUGUGACUUAGAUUACCAUAGUAGCUAAUAUAUCAUGCAAGAGUGCAGAUUUCAACCAUUGAAAUACUUUGUAUUAGGGAUGUCCGAUAAUAUCGGACUGCCGAUAUUAUCGGCCGAUAAAUGCUUUAAAAUGUAAUAUCGGAAAUUAUCGGUAUCAGUUUCAAAAUUAUCGGUAUCUGUUUCAAAAAGUAAAAUGUAUGACUUUUUAAAACGCCGCUGUGUACACGGACGUAGGGAGAAGUACAGAGCGCCAAUAAACCUUGAAGGCACUGCCUUUGCGUGCCGGCCCAAUCACAUAAUAUCUACGGCUUUUCACACUCACAAGUGAAUGCAGGCAUACUUGGUCAACAGCCAUACAGGUGACACCGAGGGUUGCCGUAUAAACAACUUCAACACUGUUACAAAUAUGCGCCACACUGUGAACCCACACCAAACAAGAAUGACAAACACAUUUCGGGAAAACAUCCGCACCGUAACACAACAUAAACACAACAGAACAAAUAGCCAGAACCCCUUACAGCACUAACUCUUCCGGGACGCUACAAUAUACACCCCGCUACCCCCCCUCCCCCACCUCAACCUCCUCAUGCUCUCUCAGGGAGAGCAUGUCCCAAAUUCCAAGCUGCAAAACAGGCAUGUUAAAUAAAAUAAUGCACUUUGUGACUUCAAUAAUAAAUAUGGCAGUGCCAUGUUGGCACUUUUUUCCAUAACUUGAGUUGAAGUUGUUCUCUUAUUUUGGAAAACCUUGUUACAUUGUUUAAUGCAUCCAGCGGGGCAUCACAACAAAAUUAAGCAUAAUAAUGUGUUAAUUCCACAACUGUAUAUAUCGGUAUCGGUUGAUAUCGGUAAUUAAGAGUUGGACAAUAUCGGAAUAUCAGAUAUCGGCAAAAAAGCCAUUAUCGGACAUCUCUACUUUGUAUAGUUCAAGACUUACCGUAAUUCAAAAACAUCACUGCAUAUCAUAAUGGCAGCUACAGUUUCCAUCUUAAAGAUAAAAAAAUAAAUGUUGGGAAAUGUCCGGCGGGCUAGACUGAAAAGCUUAACGUGCCGCAUAUGGCCCCCGGGCCUUAAUUUGCACAGGUCUGGCUUAGACACAUGGCAGCUUUAUAAAAUGCUCUUCAGCUCACCUGCACUAUUCUCUUUCUUCUUUGCCACCAUUUUGCCUUUGCUUUCUUUCUUCUUCUCUUCCUCUCCGUCGCUGUCCUUUUCCUUGACGGCACCUGGAAAAGAUCCCAAAAAUGUUAAUGGCUACAUGGAUUUAUUUUGCGUGAGGUGUGUGGUAAUCUUACCGUGGGAGUGUGAGUGUCCUCCCUUCAACAAACGCACAAACUUCUCCACAACCAGAAAGGCGAUUAUGCCGCCAAGAACCCACAGUCCCACGGACAUCAUGUGAUCAUGGGCGGCACCUGUGGAGCAAGCCGGGAAAAGUUGACUUACGUGAAGUCAAUUUUUGGACACUUUGUCAGGGACCUAUCCGCCUACCGUGAGAGUGGCCGUGGUCGUGCGAGUCUCCAUGAUCGUCGCCGUGGUGUGAGUCUCCAUGAUCGUCUCCAUGAUCGUCGCCGUGGUGCGAGUGCGGCUCUGCAAGACAGAGAUUUUGAGUUUUUUCUUCACGUCUGUGUCGUUUAGCACGAGGUACGGUAUGGAAGUACUAUUGUCACAAAACAACGUGCAUAUGUGUAUUAAUCAGGUAAUCAGAGCUGUGUGUCUCUGUUCUAAUUUGUGUUUGUAAUAAUUUGU
Molecule: long non-coding RNA, 6269 nt
Organism: Entelurus aequoreus (snake pipefish)
Lineage: Eukaryota; Metazoa; Chordata; Actinopteri; Syngnathiformes; Syngnathidae
Exons: 3
Source: RefSeq, a predicted model, not a curated record